AUUGAACGCUGGCGGCAUGCCUUACACAUGCAAGUCGAACGGUAACAGGUCUUCUGAUGCUGACGAGUGGCGAACGGGGGUGUAAUACAUCUGAACGUUCCCGAUCGAGGGGGAUAACGGAGCGAAAUCUUUGCUAUUACCGCAUACGAUCCAUGUAUGAAAAAAGGGGACAGCAAGGACCUUCACGGUCUCAGCGGCCGAUGGCAGAUUAGGUAGUUGGUGGGAUAAAAGCUUACCAAGCCGACGAUCUGUAGCUGGUCUGAGAGGACGACCAGCCACACUGGGACUGAGACACGGCCCAGACUCCUACGGGAGGCAGCAGUGGGGAAUUUUGGACAAUGGGCGAAAGCCUGAUCCAGCCAUGCCGCGUGCAGGAUGAAGGUCUUCGGGUUGUAAACUGCUUUAGGACGGAACGAAAAGAAUCUAUCUAAUACAGAGGGUCCAUGACGGUACCGUAAGAAUAAGCACCGGCUAACUACGUG
This 482-nucleotide ribosomal RNA is filed under the name uncultured bacterium. Its description in RNAcentral is "partial 16S ribosomal RNA". It matches the Rfam family "Bacterial small subunit ribosomal RNA", at positions 30 to 507 of the family's 1533-position model. The record is from RNAcentral.